RNAcentral lists this ribosomal RNA (624 nucleotides) under uncultured euryarchaeote. RNAcentral describes it as "bacterial SSU rRNA". It matches the Rfam family "Archaeal small subunit ribosomal RNA", at positions 83 to 712 of the family's 1478-position model. Lineage: Archaea; Methanobacteriati; Methanobacteriota. The record is from RNAcentral.
CGGCUCAGUAACACGUGGAUAACCUACCCUCAGAUCUGGGAUAACUCCGGGAAACUGGAGAUAAUACCGGAUAAUCCGUGAACGCUGGAAUGCCUUACGGUUGAAAGCUUUAGCGUCUGAGGAUGGGUCUGCGGCCGAUUAGGUAGUUGCUGGGGUAACGUCCCAACAAGCCGAUAAUCGGUACGGGUUGUGAGAGCAAGAGCCCGGAGAUGGAUUCUGAGACACGAAUCCAGGUCCUACGGGGCGCAGCAGGCGCGAAAACUUUACACUGCGCGAAAGCGCGAUAAGGGGACCUCGAGUGCGUGCGCAAUGCGUACGCUUUUCAGAUGCCUAAAAAGCAUGUGGAAUAAGGGCCGGGCAAGACCGGUGCCAGCCGCCGCGGUAACACCGGCGGCUCAAGUGGUGGCCGCUAUUAUUGGGCUUAAAGGGUCCGUAGCCGGACCAGUUAGUCCCUUGGGAAAUCUUACGGCUUAACCGUAAGGCUGCCAAUGGAUACUGCUGGUCUUGGGACCGGGAGAGGUAAGAGGUACCUCAGGGGUAGGAGUGAAAUCCUGUAAUCCUUGAGGGACCGCCAGUGGCGAAGGCGUCUUACUAGAACGGGUCCGACGGUGAGGGACGAAAGCU